Molecule: transfer RNA, 91 nt
Filed under: Parvimonas sp. KA00067
Lineage: Bacteria; Bacillati; Bacillota; Tissierellia; Tissierellales; Peptoniphilaceae
Description: tRNA-Ser
Rfam family: tRNA
About the family: Transfer RNA (tRNA) molecules are approximately 80 nucleotides in length. Their secondary structure includes four short double-helical elements and three loops (D, anti-codon, and T loops). Further hydrogen bonds mediate the characteristic L-shaped molecular structure. tRNAs have two regions of fundamental functional importance: the anti-codon, which is responsible for specific mRNA codon recognition, and the 3' end, to which the tRNAs corresponding amino acid is attached (by aminoacyl-tRNA synthetases). tRNAs cope with the degeneracy of the genetic code in two manners: having more than one tRNA (with a specific anti-codon) for a particular amino acid; and 'wobble' base-pairing, i.e. permitting non-standard base-pairing at the 3rd anti-codon position.
Source: RNAcentral
GGAGAGCUGUCCGAGUGGUCGAAGGAGCACGAUUGGAAAUCGUGUAAACGCCAAAAGCGUUUCGAGGGUUCAAAUCCCUCGCUCUCCGCCA